Molecule: long non-coding RNA, 585 nt
Organism: Chelmon rostratus (copperband butterflyfish)
Lineage: Eukaryota; Metazoa; Chordata; Actinopteri; Chaetodontiformes; Chaetodontidae
Exons: 4
Source: RefSeq, a predicted model, not a curated record
AUCUUGGGUUGCAGUGCAGAAGUGAGUUAAAAGGAUUGAUUGACCUCAUCUCUAACCAAUAACCAUGUGAUGUUAAAGGAAAAAAUGGUCCCUAUGAAAACUGUUCAGCAUGAUCUGUGGAUUAUGCAAAAUAUUGGGGACACUUCAGCUGUGUGCACCAACAACAGUGCAACAGUUUUGAACUGGGGUGGAGGAAGUCUCAGAGACAUAUAUUGCUUGUAAAAGAAAACUAUCUGCACAGCUAGAUACCACUAAAGCGAAGCCCAACGCUCCUGAAAAAGUAUAGUGGCUGCUGUUGGAGGAGAGAGAGCAAAGGCCAUAUCUCCACAUCACACGGGAACAUCCCUCUAACACCAUGUCCGCCUGGAUCAGGAGUCAAACAAGAGAGCAGCAACUUGUGGGAGGUCCCAAAACAGAAGUUGUUGUUGGUGGUGUGCUGCAUAUUGUGCACAAUCUGUGAUCUGCAUCAUAUCUGGUUUGCCCCACUGCUGUUAAUGUUAAACGUAUUACAGGAGUCAACACACAAUGACUAAAUCCAAAUAAUAAAUGUUUUCUGAUGCUGUUAAAGGUUUGUUUCGAGCUGAA